Molecule: signal recognition particle RNA, 148 nt
Filed under: Gorilla gorilla gorilla (western lowland gorilla)
Lineage: Eukaryota; Metazoa; Chordata; Mammalia; Primates; Hominidae
Description: Metazoan signal recognition particle RNA
Rfam family: Metazoan signal recognition particle RNA
About the family: The signal recognition particle (SRP) is a universally conserved ribonucleoprotein.
Source: Rfam by way of RNAcentral
GCCGGGCAUGGUGGCGCAUGCCUGUAGUCCCAGCUACUCGGGAGGCUGAGGCAGAAGAAUCGCUUGAACCCAGGAGGUGGAGGUUGCAGUGAGCACAGAUCGCGCCACUGAAUUCCAGCCUGGGUGACACAGCGAGACUCCAUCUUAA